This 561-nucleotide ribosomal RNA is filed under the name uncultured archaeon. RNAcentral describes it as "bacterial SSU rRNA". It matches the Rfam family "Archaeal small subunit ribosomal RNA", at positions 93 to 656 of the family's 1478-position model. The record is from RNAcentral.
GUAACACGUAGUCAACACCCCUUAGGGGACGUGGAUAACCUCGGGAAACUGAGAUUAAACCGCGAUAGGUCAAGAUUUCUGGAAUGGAUCCUGGCUUAAAUCUACAUGGCCCCUGGAUUGGACUGCGGCCGAUCAGGCUGUUGGUGAGGUAAUGGCCCACCAAACCUAUAACCGGUACGGGCUCUGAGGGGAGAAGCCCGGAGAUGGGCACUGAGACAAGGGCCCAGGCCCUAUGGGGCGCAGCAGGCGCGAAAACUCUGCAAUGGGCGAAAGCCUGACAGGGUUACUCUGAGUGAUUUCCGCUAAGGAGAUCUUUUGGCAGCUCUAAAAAUGGUGCAGAAUAAGGGGUGGGCAAGUCUGGUGUCAGCCGCCGCGGUAAUACCAGCACCCCGAGUGGUCGGGACGAUUAUUGGGCCUAAAGCAUCCGUAGCCGGUUGUGCAAGUCCUCCGUUAAAUCCAGCCGCUCAACGGAUGGGCUGCGGAGGAUACUACAGAACUAGGAGGCGGGAGAGGCAAGCGGUACUUAGUGGGUAGGGGUAAAAUCCAUUGAUCCAUUGAAGA